AGAGUUUGAUCAUGGCUCAGAUUGAACGCUGGCGGAAUGCUUUACACAUGCAAGUCGAACGGCAGCACGGACUUCGGUCUGGUGGCGAGUGGCGAACGGGUGAGUAAUAUAUCGGAACGUAUCCAAUAAUGGGGGAUAACUAAUCGAAAGGUUGGCUAAUACCGCAUACGCCCUACGGGGGAAAGCUAGGGACCUUCGGGCCUGGCGUUAAUGGAGCGGCCGAUAUCUGAUUAGCUAGUUGGUGAGGUAAAGGCUCACCAAGGCGACGAUCAGUAGCUGGUCUGAGAGGACGACCAGCCACACUGGAACUGAGACACGGUCCAGACUCCUACGGGAGGCAGCAGUGGGGAAUUUUGGACAAUGGGCGAAAGCCUGAUCCAGCCAUUCCGCGUGAGUGAAGAAGGCCUUCGGGUUGUAAAGCUCUUUCGCGAGGGAAGAAAGAUUACUCUCUAGCAUAGAGUAAUUAUGACGGUACCUUGAUAAGAAGCACCGGCUAACUACGUGCCAGCAGCCGCGGUAAUACGUAGGGUGCGAGCGUUAAUCGGAAUUACUGGGCGUAAAGCGUGCGCAGGCGGUUUUGUAAGUCAGAUGUGAAAUCCCCGAGCUCAACUUGGGAACUGCGUUUGAAACUACAAGACUAGAAUAUGUCAGAGGGGGGUAGAAUUCCACGUGUAGCAGUGAAAUGCGUAGAGAUGUGGAGGAAUGCCAAUGGCGAAGGCAGCCCCCUGGGAUAAUAUUGACGCUCAUGCACGAAAGCGUGGGGAGCAAACAGGAUUAGAUACCCCGGUAGUCC
This 793-nucleotide ribosomal RNA is filed under the name uncultured bacterium. RNAcentral's name for it is "bacterial SSU rRNA". It matches the Rfam family "Bacterial small subunit ribosomal RNA", at positions 8 to 796 of the family's 1533-position model. The record is from RNAcentral.